GGGGCUGUAGCUCAGUUGGCUAGAGCGCUUGCAUGGCAUGCAAGAGGUCAGGGGUUCGAUUCCCCUCAGCUCCACCA
RNAcentral lists this transfer RNA (77 nucleotides) under Candidatus Peregrinibacteria bacterium CG1_02_54_53. RNAcentral's name for it is "tRNA-Ala". It matches the Rfam family "tRNA". Rfam says of the family: Transfer RNA (tRNA) molecules are approximately 80 nucleotides in length. The record is from RNAcentral. Lineage: Bacteria; Candidatus Peregrinibacteriota.